GUGCGUCCGUGGAACGAGCGGCGGAUGGGUGAGUAUCACGUGGCAACCUGCCUGUAAGAUUGGGAUAACUCGCGGAAACGUGAGCUAAUACCGAAUGAAGUCUUUCACCGCCUGGUGAAAGGAUGAAAGAUGGCUCUUGAGCUAUCACUUACAGAUGGGCCCGCGGCGCAUUAGCUAGUUGGUGGGGUAAAGGCCUACCAAGGCGACGAUGCGUAGCCGACCUGAGAGGGUGAUCGGCCACACUGGGACUGAGACACGGCCCAGACUCCUACGGGAGGCAGCAGUAGGGAAUCUUCCGCAAUGGACGAAAGUCUGACGGAGCAACGCCGCGUGAGUGAUGAAGGUCUUCGGAUCGUAAAACUCUGUUGUCAGGGAAGAACAAGUUGUGUUCUAACAGGACAUGACCUUGACGGUACCUGACCAGAAAGCCCCGGCUAACUACGUGCCAGCCGCAGC
This 456-nucleotide ribosomal RNA is filed under the name uncultured bacterium. RNAcentral's name for it is "bacterial SSU rRNA". It matches the Rfam family "Bacterial small subunit ribosomal RNA", at positions 78 to 518 of the family's 1533-position model. The record is from RNAcentral.